This 375-nucleotide unclassified non-coding RNA is filed under the name uncultured Gammaproteobacteria bacterium. Its description in RNAcentral is "contains 16S-23S intergenic spacer region". The record is from RNAcentral. Lineage: Bacteria; Pseudomonadati; Pseudomonadota; Gammaproteobacteria.
UCCGGUUCCUCACCGGCAGUCUCCUUAGAGUCCCCAACUAAAUGCUGGCAACUAAGGACAAGGGUUGCGCUCGUUACGGGACUUAACCCAACAUCUCACAACACGAGCUGACGACAGCCAUGCAGCACCUGUCUCUGCGUUCCUUUCGGCACUCCCGGAUCUCUCCAGGAUUCGCAGGAUGUCAAGGGUAGGUAAGGUUCUUCGCGUUGCAUCGAAUUAAACCACAUGCUCCACCGCUUGUGCGGGCCCCCGUCAAUUCAUUUGAGUUUCAACCUUGCGGCCGUACUUCCCAGGCGGAAGACUUAUCGCGUUUGCUUCAAGACUGAUAGGUUCCCCUACCAACCUUUAGUCCUCAUCGUUUACAGCGUGGACUAC